UGGAGGAUAAUUUAACUGGAAAAAUAUCAGUUUGCAAAACUGAAAAUGUCGUCGGUUCGAGUCCCGCUCCUCCUC
This 75-nucleotide transfer RNA is filed under the name Chitinophaga sp. CF418. Its description in RNAcentral is "tRNA_Cys_GCA". It matches the Rfam family "tRNA". Rfam says of the family: Transfer RNA (tRNA) molecules are approximately 80 nucleotides in length. Their secondary structure includes four short double-helical elements and three loops (D, anti-codon, and T loops). Further hydrogen bonds mediate the characteristic L-shaped molecular structure. tRNAs have two regions of fundamental functional importance: the anti-codon, which is responsible for specific mRNA codon recognition, and the 3' end, to which the tRNAs corresponding amino acid is attached (by aminoacyl-tRNA synthetases). tRNAs cope with the degeneracy of the genetic code in two manners: having more than one tRNA (with a specific anti-codon) for a particular amino acid; and 'wobble' base-pairing, i.e. permitting non-standard base-pairing at the 3rd anti-codon position. The record is from RNAcentral. Lineage: Bacteria; Pseudomonadati; Bacteroidota; Chitinophagia; Chitinophagales; Chitinophagaceae.